This 251-nucleotide ribosomal RNA is filed under the name uncultured Corynebacterium sp. Its description in RNAcentral is "partial 16S ribosomal RNA". It matches the Rfam family "Bacterial small subunit ribosomal RNA", at positions 84 to 339 of the family's 1533-position model. The record is from RNAcentral. Lineage: Bacteria; Bacillati; Actinomycetota; Actinomycetes; Mycobacteriales; Corynebacteriaceae.
GGGGUACUCGAGUGGCGAACGGGUGAGUAACACGUGGGUGAUCUGCCCUGCACUUCGGGAUAAGCCUGGGAAACUGGGUCUAAUACCGGAUAGGACGAUGGUUUGGAUGCCAUUGUGGAAAGUUUUUCGGUGUGGGAUGAGCUCGCGGCCUAUCAGCUUGUUGGUGGGGUAAUGGCCUACCAAGGCGUCGACGGGUAGCCGGCCUGAGAGGGUGUACGGCCACAUUGGGACUGAGAUACGGCCCAGACUCC